This 280-nucleotide small RNA is filed under the name Actinobaculum suis. RNAcentral's name for it is "5' ureB small RNA". It matches the Rfam family "5' ureB small RNA". Lineage: Bacteria; Bacillati; Actinomycetota; Actinomycetes; Actinomycetales; Actinomycetaceae. The record is from Rfam by way of RNAcentral.
CUGUUCCGGGGAAAUAUUGUGAAUGUGCGUGUCAACCGCGCCGGCCGUGAGGAUCUUACCCUCGCCGCCUACAACUUCGGUGCGCACCCCCACUACGAUAUCCACAUCGUCCUGGAUAUCAGGGUUACCGGCGUUACCGAUCUUCAAGAUCUUGCCGUCACGGACAGCCACGUCCGCAACAUAAAUACCCGUGUAGUCAAUGACCAUCACGUUGGUAAUCACAAGAUCUGGAAUUUGACCUUCAUCUACAACGGUAGAGUUCUGCCCCAUACCGUCGCGG